This 423-nucleotide ribosomal RNA is filed under the name Haemophilus influenzae. RNAcentral describes it as "bacterial SSU rRNA". It matches the Rfam family "Bacterial small subunit ribosomal RNA", at positions 1 to 416 of the family's 1533-position model. Lineage: Bacteria; Pseudomonadati; Pseudomonadota; Gammaproteobacteria; Pasteurellales; Pasteurellaceae. The record is from RNAcentral.
ACUUGAAUUGAAGAGUUUGAUCAUGGCUCAGAUUGAACGCUGGCGGCAGGCUUAACACAUGCAAGUCGAACGGUAGCAGGAGAAAGCUUGCUUUCUUGCUGACGAGUGGCGGACGGGUGAGUAAUGCUUGGGAAUCUGGCCUAUGGAGGGGGAUAACGACGGGAAACUGUCGCUAAUACCGCGUAUUAUCGGAAGAUGAAAGUGCGGGACUGAGAGGCCGCAUGCCAUAGGAUGAGCCCAAGUGGGAUUAGGUAGUUGGUGGGGUAAAGGCCUACCAAGCCUGCGAUCUCUAGCUGGUCUGAGAGGAUGACCAGCCACACUGGAACUGAGACACGGUCCAGACUCCUACGGGAGGCAGCAGUGGGGAAUAUUGCGCAAUGGGGGGAACCCUGACGCAGCCAUGCCGCGUGAAUGAAGAAGGCC